RNAcentral lists this long non-coding RNA (1363 nucleotides) under Chrysemys picta bellii (western painted turtle). Its description in RNAcentral is "lncRNA (ENSCPBG00000008155.1)". Lineage: Eukaryota; Metazoa; Chordata; Testudines; Emydidae. The record is from RNAcentral.
AACUUGGUCCCAUAAAAGAUAUUACCUCACCCACCUUCUCUUAGUGAAAGAUUAACACCUUUAAUCAGACUGCAGCUCAUCUGAUCAUCACACUGAAUUCUCCACCUCCUUCUGCUCAGACAGUUAUACCAACAGCAGCUGGGUGAUGCUUCUGGUCCCAUUUCCACGUGGCAGUCAAGUCACUGGGACAGCAAAUCUGGCUUGUGUGAUCCAUGGAGUGUCCAGCCCAGUCCAUGUUUCCUGGAGUGUUUCUGGGGAGCUGCAGGAACAGGGGCUGACGCGCUCAUUGAAAGCAAAGGAUGGAUCUUUAACACUCAUAAAUCACAUCAGCGUCCCCAUGGACACCUGGACCAGUGGGAAGGAUUUCACCUGUGAAGUCAAAUUCAACUCUUCUGGUACCAGUGUAAAGAAAAGUACCAGGUAUCCUGCAGCCCCUGACAGCGAGUGCUCACAUUACAUUGUGCCCCUUGCGGCUGGUGCUGGUCUGCUGCUGCUGUUGGUGUCUCUGAGCCUCGUAUGGACCCUCUGCCCUUCCACGCUAGGAGUCCAGCCCAGGGUCUCAGCACCCCCAGCUUCACAGGAGAACCAGGGUGGGAUCUUAUAUGCUCAUCUGGAUUUUGAUUCACGGAAUCGCAACGGGCGCAUGAUGCAGCGACCGGCCAGAGGGAAACAUCUAAAACCCUGAACUGUCUCGUGCAGGGGAAUCCACAUGUGGGAACUGAUGUCUGGUUCUCUGCUGAUCGGACAUAGCAGCUGGAAGAAGACUCUGUCUGUCACCUUUUUUAUUUAUUUUCUCCCCUUUUCUGUUUGCAAUAUAAAGGUCAGAAGAUCCCCACAGGGUUCAACCUCAUAAGAUGGGAAAUCUCCUUUUGGGAUAUAAAGGCAUCACGGUGUAGAUAAUACACUUGUGUACUAGAUUGGAAGCUCUUUGGGGCAGGGACUGUCUCUUUGUUCUGUGUUGGUGCAGCAUCUAGCACAGAGGGGCUCUGAUCCAUAAUCGGGAGUCCUGGGUGCUAUGGUAACACCAUCAUCAUCAUCCUCUCAACUUCAGAGGGACCCGGACACAGCUGAACACCUGCAGCUUCCCUGCCCAGAGUGAGGCCGGAUGGCAGGAACCUGCAGAGGGGACGUGCAGCCCCUGUAUAUGCCACAGCUCCCCUGAUCCUCAGCAGGCUCGUGCUCCCUUUGCAGUAAUGUUACAUGGACGUGCAAUGGGAUUGUGAAGGGGGAGGAUGGAUGCGGGAGGAGCUGGGAGGGAUGAGAAUCUCUCCCCAGGCCAGGGCUGGAGCUGCUACUCCAGUGUUUCCUCUACAGCAGUGUUUCUCAAUGACCAGUCCGUGGACCAGUGCCGGUCCUUGAGAUC